AGGACGAACGUUGGCGGUGCGCUUAAUGCAUGCAAGUCGAGGGAGAACCAGUCGUUCCGUAAGGCACGGCUGGGGAAACCGGCGAACGGGUGCGUAACACGUGAGGAACCUGCCCCGAAGACCGGGAUAGCCCGGGGAAACCCGGAUUAAUACCGGAUACCCUCUUUGGACCACAUGGUCUACUGAGGAAAUGGUCUGCCGCUUCGGGAUGGCCUCGCGGCCUAUCAGCUUGUUGGUGAGGUAAUGGCUCACCAAGGCAGAGACGGGUAGCUGGUCUGAGAGGACGAUCAGCCACACUGGGACUGAGACACGGCCCAGACUCCUACGGGAGGCAGCAGCAGGGAAUAUUGCACAAUGGGCGAAAGCCUGAUGCAGCGACACCGCGUGCGGGAUGAAGGCCUUCGGGUUGUAAACCGCUUUCAGGAGGGACGAAAAUGACGGUACCUCCAGAAGAAGGCCCGGCCAACUACGUGCCAGCAGCCGCGGUAAUACGUAGGGGCCAAACGUUGUCCGGAUUUAUUGGGCGUAAAGGGCUCGUAGGCGGUUCAACAAGUCGGUCGUGAAAACCCGGGGCUCAACCCCGGGACGCCGGUCGAAACUGUUGUGACUAGGGUCCCGGUAGAGGUGAGUGGAAUUCUCGGUGUAGCGGUGGAAUGC
RNAcentral lists this ribosomal RNA (657 nucleotides) under uncultured bacterium. RNAcentral describes it as "bacterial SSU rRNA". It matches the Rfam family "Bacterial small subunit ribosomal RNA", at positions 26 to 689 of the family's 1533-position model. The record is from RNAcentral.